UGGAAUAUAGCGAAAUAGUGAAAAUGAAAUACAUAGAAUACAGUGGGGCACAUUGAAAUACAUUAAAAAAAAGACAAUAAAUACAAUGAAAUACAACGAGAUACGUUGAAAUAUACUAACAGAAAAUUCAAAGUUGCUCAGCCUCCAACUCCGUCAUUUUUGUUCAAGAAUAACCCUAGUGUCGUCACGUUGAGCAGCAUCAGUAUCCAGUCCUCGCUCGCUAUCACCGUUGCCUCAGGUUGCCGACGAUUAGCACGUAAUUACCAGCGAAUUACGGAGGUUUUGUUGAUUCUAUAUGUUGCGUUAGACAAUGAGAUUGGAGGCUGAGGGCGGCGGUGUCAAUGAAUAACGGCCACGGUCGAACGGUGACGGUGGCAAUUGCUCCAUCAUUUGGCGAAGGAGAAGACAUCGGGAAGUAGAGAGAGAAAGAGAGGAAUAGAUAUGAGGUAAGGGAUAGGAGAAAUUUGAGGAGAUAUAAGAGAGAAAAAUAAUACAAAGUUUAUUUUAUGGCUUAAGAGUAGGAGGUACCCAUAAAAUAGAUAUUUGGCAUAAAAAUCAAAAGAUGGCUAUGAAAUAUAAUUUUUUAAAUAGUAUUUAUUUAAAAUAAAUAAGGUAUCAACCUUUUGUUAUAUGAGAUAACUAAUCCAUAAAGUUAAUUUUCCACAAGUGAUAUAUGGGAUGGUAAAAUGUACGCAGUUUUAUUCCUAUUCCUAGAAGGGUAAAAAUAUUAUUUUCGAUAUACCCUCGAUUAAAGCACGACCAAAAAAGAAAAGUUGAGCUAAAUAUAAUGAUUAUAAAGAAAAUUAAUCGAACUUGCACGCAAGCUAACUCAGACGUCACGCUUAUAAAUAAUUAAAAAAGAACAAAAACAAGAACACGAGUAUAGAGAGACGGUAUAAACCGUAAAAGAAAAAAAAGAGAUGAUGAAAAAAAGAGAAGAAAGAGGGAGGAUGAUUACAAAGGUAUUGGGAGAGGAAAAGAAUCUCGUAGAAAAGGGAAGAAAUAUUUGUCGUCCUGCAACAAUGAUUAUACCUCUUUUUUUUCUCACUUU
Molecule: long non-coding RNA, 1051 nt
Filed under: Nicotiana benthamiana
Lineage: Eukaryota; Viridiplantae; Streptophyta; Magnoliopsida; Solanales; Solanaceae
Description: long non-coding RNA (NBEN_LNC009459)
Source: RNAcentral